GAUGAGAAUACGGGAGAAAGAGGGAGAUAGCGGCUAUGGCCGAUUUAGGGCUAAAAGAACGCAUAAAUCAUGAAACCAAAGUAUGCUAUAUCAAGCAUAGGUUGAGUUUUAGCAUCCAAAUUGAAGGAAGAAGCCAUUUUUGGUUGAUGAGGUGAAGAAGAACUCGAUUAAGGGUUUAAAACUCGAACUUCAGGCUAAAAUUGAGGCAGAUUCCAAUUCAUUAGACRGAUUAAAUUCCAUUCCUGCCAACCAAACACUUGGUCAAACRCCCCUCUGUGCGCAAAUAACCAACCAAUCGAUUAAUUAUGGCGGCGACACCCUCCGCCGGAGUAGAAGCACUCCACUGCCUGAAACUGACGGAGCCACCGAUGUACCUAACUCCAUCGUCGGAACUUGCUACUGCCGCUCGUAUUGCUUCGGAGCACUUAUUCGCUUCAGUCAAACCCUACACUCCUAAAUCACCAUUCGACCGCCUCUUUGUAGACGAGAAGUUCGACGCCGAGCAGAUUUGGUAGCAAAUUGACCUUCAAUCUUAGCUGUUGAUAUUCGCCAUUCGCCAUCAAGUAAACAAGUUUGAGAAGGAUCCGCAAGAGCUUAAAGAUAUUUUUAAGAGUGGUGAGUCUGAUCAAGAGCAGAAGAGGGAGUUUGUUUUAGAGGGGGAGAAAGAAGAAGAAGACGAAGAGGAUGAUGAACUUGAUGACGAAAGCAACGAAGAAGAGGACGAGGAUGAGGAUGAGAUCGAAGAAGAUGAAAGCGGAGACGGAGAGAGAGAACGUAAAGAGAGAGGCGGAGUUGGUGUUGAAGAUAAGCUUUUAAAUAUACAGGAGAUGAAGGAGUCCAUGGAAGAUGAUGAAUCUAGAGAAUACGGAGUUAACAAAAAGAAACAAGUGGUGAAGAAAAUGGCUAGAAAGUUUGGGGAAGACGAUGAAGAAGAAGAUGAUGAUGAAGACGAUGACGAUGAGCUUGGAGUUCUUGAACUUGCAGGGGAAGAAGACAUGUCAGAUGCUGAAGAUGCUGGGUGAUACUUUCAUUACGCAUUUAUGUAUUGUGAC
Molecule: long non-coding RNA, 1052 nt
Organism: Cynara cardunculus var. scolymus (artichoke)
Lineage: Eukaryota; Viridiplantae; Streptophyta; Magnoliopsida; Asterales; Asteraceae
Exons: 3
Source: RefSeq, a predicted model, not a curated record